GACUCUUUGGUGUUGUGGUCAAGCCGCAGGGUUAGUACCCUGGAGCCCAGGUUCAAGACCGUGUGGGGUCA
This 71-nucleotide transfer RNA is filed under the name Alosa alosa (allis shad). RNAcentral's name for it is "tRNA-OTHER". Lineage: Eukaryota; Metazoa; Chordata; Actinopteri; Clupeiformes; Clupeidae. The record is from RNAcentral.